Molecule: transfer-messenger RNA, 299 nt
Filed under: Candidatus Pelagibacter sp.
Lineage: Bacteria; Pseudomonadati; Pseudomonadota; Alphaproteobacteria; Candidatus Pelagibacterales; Candidatus Pelagibacteraceae
Rfam family: Alphaproteobacteria transfer-messenger RNA
About the family: Bacterial tmRNA, also known as 10Sa RNA or SsrA, is named for its dual tRNA and mRNA-like properties. Its role is to liberate the mRNA from a stalled ribosome.
Source: RNAcentral
UUUAUUGAAUCUCUUCUAAAUGCUUUUAUAUUAAUAAUGUUGGUUUUCCAACUAUGACGAUAAACGAAUUUCGUAAUAACCAUUGCGGACGUGGGGGCAGUACCCACCACCUCCACCAUACAACUUAUGGGGGUGAACUAGAUUCGACGAGUGACUAAAAGUUAUUCUUUUGUUCGGGAUUGUUCCACCGUAACGGGCUAAUUUAUAAUUGCUAACGAAAGUUACGCACUUGCUGCCUAAUUAACACUGUUAAUUAAGUAGACGGGGUCCGGGGCACCUGGCAACAGAACGCCCCUUGA